Molecule: long non-coding RNA, 568 nt
Organism: Carassius auratus (goldfish)
Lineage: Eukaryota; Metazoa; Chordata; Actinopteri; Cypriniformes; Cyprinidae
Exons: 3
Source: RefSeq, a predicted model, not a curated record
CCAAGACAGCACAUGUACGUCUGGCCGAUAUCGAAAGGUCGGCAACAUCGGCCAGGCGGAGGCCGAUAUAAUUCGGUCAGUGCUCUGUUCUCCAGCUCAUCAAUCGUCGGCCCUGAGUUGGUUCACAACCAAGGUCCGAUGCCGCGCUUCUGUGUGCGCGUGCCCAGUUAUUCAUCUCUUUUAUUUUAGCCACCCAGAGAGAGAUAAGAGACUCAUCUCAGCGACAUCUGUGGCUUUCAGGCUACCAGAAAGAAUCCGUCUCUAUACAGUGAGCUAUUGUUGCUGUUGCUUUCUGAGCUACAAAAUGAGUUUUAAAUUCAUCAUUGAGGGAUUAUUAAAUGAGACUGUACAUUAUAAAUGUAAUGUUUUAACUCUAACUCUAGAUGUUUGUUUGUGUAAAUGCUGUGUGUGCGUUGAGUCCUGCGCGAGCGGGGAGCAGAGUUGCCAUGGAAACAGGGCGUCAACACAAAAACCGUUACUGGCAAGCAGUAAUCUCCAUCUUUCGUUGCGGUUUACACUGUUUUAGGAGGACAGAAAGAAACUACAGAACAGAAGUGAAGCUCCAAGA